RNAcentral lists this ribosomal RNA (320 nucleotides) under uncultured eukaryote. RNAcentral describes it as "partial 18S ribosomal RNA". It matches the Rfam family "Eukaryotic small subunit ribosomal RNA", at positions 1470 to 1796 of the family's 1831-position model. The record is from RNAcentral.
CCCCUAGAUGUUCUGGGCCGCACGCGCGCUACACUGAACAGUUCAACAAGUCUUAACCUUGGCCGAUAGGUCUGGGUAAUCUUUGAACGCUGUUCGUGAUUGGGAUAGACCUUUGCAAUUAUGGGUCUUCAACGAGGAAUUCCUGGUAAACGCAAGUCAUCAGCUUGCAUUGAUUGCGUCCCUGCCCUUUGUACACGCCGCCCGUCGCACCUACCGAUUGAAUGGUCCGGUGAAAUCUCGGGACGGCGGCUUGGUCGCUUGCGUCCGACUGCUGAAACUUGAUUAAACCAUAUCAUUUAGAGGAAGGUGAANUCGUANCG